Molecule: ribosomal RNA, 1566 nt
Filed under: Bacillus sp. B14905
Lineage: Bacteria; Bacillati; Bacillota; Bacilli; Caryophanales; Bacillaceae
Description: bacterial LSU rRNA
Rfam family: Bacterial large subunit ribosomal RNA
Source: RNAcentral
AGGCUCGUCCGCUCAGGGUUAGUCGGGACCUAAGCCGAGGCCGAUAGGCGUAGGCGAUGGACAACAGGUUGAUAUUCCUGUACCACCUCCUCACCGUUUGAGAAAUGGGGGGACGCAGUAGGAUAGGGUAAGCGCGCUGUUGGUUAUGCGCGUCCAAGCAGUAAGGCGUGUGUGUAGGCAAAUCCGCACACUGUAACGUUGAGCUGUGAUGGCGAGUCCGUAUGGACGAAGUUCCUGAUUUCACACUGCCAAGAAAAGCCUCUAUCGAGGUGAGAGGUGCCCGUACCGCAAACCGACACAGGUAGUCGAGGAGAGAAUCCUAAGGUGUGCGAGAGAACUCUCGUUAAGGAACUCGGCAAAAUGACCCCGUAACUUCGGGAGAAGGGGUGCUCUUGAGCGUGCAAGCGCAUGAGAGCCGCAGUGAAUAGGCCCAGGCGACUGUUUAGCAAAAACACAGGUCUCUGCAAAACCGUAAGGUGACGUAUAGGGGCUGACGCCUGCCCGGUGCUGGAAGGUUAAGAGGAGUGGUUAGCGCAAGCGAAGCUGCGAAUUGAAGCCCCAGUAAACGGCGGCCGUAACUAUAACGGUCCUAAGGUAGCGAAAUUCCUUGUCGGGUAAGUUCCGACCCGCACGAAAGGCGUAACGAUUUGGGCACUGUCUCAACGAGAGACUCGGUGAAAUUAUAGUACCUGUGAAGAUGCAGGUUACCCGCGACAGGACGGAAAGACCCCGUGGAGCUUUACUGUAGCCUGAUAUUGAAUUUUGGUACAACUUGUACAGGAUAGGUAGGAGCCAGAGAUCUCGGAGCGCCAGCUUCGAAGGAGGCGUCGGUGGGAUACUACCCUGGUUGUAUUGAAAUUCUAACCCAUGCCCCUUAGCGGGGCAGGAGACAGUGUCAGGCGGACAGUUUGACUGGGGCGGUCGCCUCCUAAAAGGUAACGGAGGCGCCCAAAGGUUCCCUCAGAAUGGUUGGAAAUCAUUCGUAGAGUGUAAAGGCACAAGGGAGCUUGACUGCGAGACCUACAAGUCGAGCAGGGUCGAAAGACGGGCUUAGUGAUCCGGUGGUUCCGCAUGGAAGGGCCAUCGCUCAACGGAUAAAAGCUACCCCGGGGAUAACAGGCUUAUCUCCCCCAAGAGUCCACAUCGACGGGGAGGUUUGGCACCUCGAUGUCGGCUCAUCGCAUCCUGGGGCUGUAGUCGGUCCCAAGGGUUGGGCUGUUCGCCCAUUAAAGCGGUACGCGAGCUGGGUUCAGAACGUCGUGAGACAGUUCGGUCCCUAUCCGUCGUGGGCGUAGGAAAUUUGAGAGGAGCUGUCCUUAGUACGAGAGGACCGGGAUGGACACACCGCUGGUGUACCAGUUGUCUUGCCAAAGGCAUCGCUGGGUAGCUAUGUGUGGACGGGAUAAGUGCUGAAAGCAUCUAAGCAUGAAGCCCCCCUCAAGAUGAGAUUUCCCAUUACGCAAGUAAGUAAGAUCCCUCAAAGACGAUGAGGUAGAUAGGUUCGAGGUGGAAGUGUGGUGACACAUGGAGCUGACGAAUACUAAUCGAUCGAGGACUUAACCAAAA